UUAAGCGACUAAGCGUACACGGUGGAUGCCCUGGCAGUCAGAGGCGAUGAAGGACGUGCUAAUCUGCGAUAAGCGUCGGUAAGGUGAUAUGAACCGUUAUAACCGGCGAUUUCCGAAUGGGGAAACCCAGUGUGAUUCGUCACACUAUCAUUAACUGAAUCCAUAGGUUAAUGAGGCGAACCGGGGGAACUGAAACAUCUAAGUACCCCGAGGAAAAGAAAUCAACCGAGAUUCCCCCAGUAGCGGCGAGCGAACGGGGAGCAGCCCAGAGCCUGAAUCAGUGUGUGUGUUAGUGGAAGCGUCUGGAAAGGCGCGCGAUACAGGGUGACAGCCCCGUACACAAAAAUGCACAUACUGUGAGCUCGAUGAGUAGGGCGGGACACGUGGUAUCCUGUCUGAAUAUGGGGGGACCAUCCUCCAAGGCUAAAUACUCCUGACUGACCGAUAGUGAACCAGUACCGUGAGGGAAAGGCGAAAAGAACCCCGGCGAGGGGAGUGAAAAAGAACCUGAAACCGUGUACGUACAAGCAGUGGGAGCACGCUUAGGCGUGUGACUGCGUACCUUUUGUAUAAUGGGUCAGCGACUUAUAUUCUGUAGCAAGGUUAACCGAAUAGGGGAGCCGAAGGGAAACCGAGUCUUAACUGGGCGUUAAGUUGCAGGGUAUAGACCCGAAACCCGGUGAUCUAGCCAUGGGCAGGUUGAAGGUUGGGUAACACUAACUGGAGGACCGAACCGACUAAUGUUGAAAAAUUAGCGGAUGACUUGUGGCUGGGGGUGAAAGGCCAAUCAAACCGGGAGAUAGCUGGUUCUCCCCGAAAGCUAUUUAGGUAGCGCCUCGUGAAUUCAUCUCCGGGGGUAGAGCACUGUUUCGGCAAGGGGGUCAUCCCGACUUACCAACCCGAUGCAAACUGCGAAUACCGGAGAAUGUUAUCACGGGAGACACACGGCGGGUGCUAACGUCCGUCGUGAAGAGGGAAACAACCCAGACCGCCAGCUAAGGUCCCAAAGUCAUGGUUAAGUGGGAAACGAUGUGGGAAGGCCCAGACAGCCAGGAUGUUGGCUUAGAAGCAGCCAUCAUUUAAAGAAAGCGUAAUAGCUCACUGGUCGAGUCGGCCUGCGCGGAAGAUGUAACGGGGCUAAACCAUGCACCGAAGCUGCGGCAGCGACGCUUAUGCGUUGUUGGGUAGGGGAGCGUUCUGUAAGCCUGUGAAGGUGUGCUGUGAGGCAUGCUGGAGGUAUCAGAAGUGCGAAUGCUGACAUAAGUAACGAUAAAGCGGGUGAAAAGCCCGCUCGCCGGAAGACCAAGGGUUCCUGUCCAACGUUAAUCGGGGCAGGGUGAGUCGACCCCUAAGGCGAGGCCGAAAGGCGUAGUCGAUGGGAAACAGGUUAAUAUUCCUGUACUUGGUGUUACUGCGAAGGGGGGACGGAGAAGGCUAUGUUGGCCGGGCGACGGUUGUCCCGGUUUAAGCGUGUAGGCUGGUUUUCCAGGCAAAUCCGGAAAAUCAAGGCUGAGGCGUGAUGACGAGGCACUACGGUGCUGAAGCAACAAAUGCCCUGCUUCCAGGAAAAGCCUCUAAGCAUCAGGUAACAUCAAAUCGUACCCCAAACCGACACAGGUGGUCAGGUAGAGAAUACCAAGGCGCUUGAGAGAACUCGGGUGAAGGAACUAGGCAAAAUGGUGCCGUAACUUCGGGAGAAGGCACGCUGAUAUGUAGGUGAAGUCCCUCGCGGAUGGAGCUGAAAUCAGUCGAAGAUACCAGCUGGCUGCAACUGUUUAUUAAAAACACAGCACUGUGCAAACACGAAAGUGGACGUAUACGGUGUGACGCCUGCCCGGUGCCGGAAGGUUAAUUGAUGGGGUCAGCGCAAGCGAAGCUCUUGAUCGAAGCCCCGGUAAACGGCGGCCGUAACUAUAACGGUCCUAAGGUAGCGAAAUUCCUUGUCGGGUAAGUUCCGACCUGCACGAAUGGCGUAAUGAUGGCCAGGCUGUCUCCACCCGAGACUCAGUGAAAUUGAACUCGCUGUGAAGAUGCAGUGUACCCGCGGCAAGACGGAAAGACCCCGUGAACCUUUACUAUAGCUUGACACUGAACAUUGAGCCUUGAUGUGUAGGAUAGGUGGGAGGCUUUGAAGUGUGGACGCCAGUCUGCAUGGAGCCGGCCUUGAAAUACCACCCUUUAAUGUUUGAUGUUCUAACGUUGACCCGUGAUCCGGGUUGCGGACAGUGUCUGGUGGGUAGUUUGACUGGGGCGGUCUCCUCCUAAAGAGUAACGGAGGAGCACGAAGGUUGGCUAAUCCUGGUCGGACAUCAGGAGGUUAGUGCAAUGGCAUAAGCCAGCUUGACUGCGAGCGUGACGGCGCGAGCAGGUGCGAAAGCAGGUCAUAGUGAUCCGGUGGUUCUGAAUGGAAGGGCCAUCGCUCAACGGAUAAAAGGUACUCCGGGGAUAACAGGCUGAUACCGCCCAAGAGUUCAUAUCGACGGCGGUGUUUGGCACCUCGAUGUCGGCUCAUCACAUCCUGGGGCUGAAGUAGGUCCCAAGGGUAUGGCUGUUCGCCAUUUAAAGUGGUACGCGAGCUGGGUUUAGAACGUCGUGAGACAGUUCGGUCCCUAUCUGCCGUGGGCGCUGGAGAACUGAGGGGGGCUGCUCCUAGUACGAGAGGACCGGAGUGGACGCAUCACUGGUGUUCGGGUUGUCAUGCCAAUGGCACUGCCCGGUAGCUAAAUGCGGAAGAGAUAAGUGCUGAAAGCAUCUAAGCACGAAACUUGCCCCGAGAUGAGUUCUCCCUGACUCCUUGAGAGUCCUGAAGGAACGUUGAAGACGACGACGUUGAUAGGCCGGGUGUGUAAGCGCAGCGAUGCGUUGAGCUAACCGGUACUAAUGAACCGUGAGGCUUAACCUU
RNAcentral lists this ribosomal RNA (2902 nucleotides) under Escherichia coli DEC11C. Its description in RNAcentral is "bacterial LSU rRNA". It matches the Rfam family "Bacterial large subunit ribosomal RNA". The record is from RNAcentral. Lineage: Bacteria; Pseudomonadati; Pseudomonadota; Gammaproteobacteria; Enterobacterales; Enterobacteriaceae.